GUAAUUCUGAAACUUGAUUUCGAGAAGGCAUUUGACACGAUGGAACAUUCUUUGAUUUUGAAAAUGUUGGAAUGCAAGGGUUUUGAUGACAGGUGGUGUAUGUGGAUUAAGAUGUUGCUGCAGUCUGGAUCCUCAUCAAUUCUUCUGAAUGGUAUACCUAGUACAGAAUUCCAAUGUAAGCGGGGGGUGAGACAGGGGGACCCAAUUUCACCACUGUUAUUUGUGCUUGCGGCGGAUUUAUUACAGUCUUUAAUUAAUAAAGCAUGGAUGGAUGGUCUGAUUUCACUACCAAUUAACCAGCCUGCUUCUGAAGAUUAUCCAGUCAUACAAUAUGCAGACGAUACAUUAAUCAUUCUUCCAGCAAGUCAACAAGAGCUACAGACAAUCAAAGGCAUUCUUGAUUCUUAUGCCCGAGCAACUGGCCUAAAAAUUAAUUAA
Molecule: ribosomal RNA, 438 nt
Filed under: Triticum aestivum (bread wheat)
Lineage: Eukaryota; Viridiplantae; Streptophyta; Magnoliopsida; Poales; Poaceae
Description: partial small subunit ribosomal RNA
Source: RNAcentral